GAAUGAUCUAUGUAAGCCAUGUGAUUUCCUUAUUCAGGUGGCUAUACUGUAUUCCUCAUUUAGUUGUUUAUCAAGUGAUCAGAUGUUUUACUCUCGAGAAUGUGUUUUGAGAACUGCUUGUUUACCCAUUCCUUUGUUUUUAGCUGCAGUAAGUAAUUCUAAUAGGAAGACUGUUGGUUCAACAGAAGAUCCCGAGUCAGUGUGUGGAUAGCUUGUUGGUAGAGUCCAUAAAAAAAUUCCAACCAGUCAUGACCGCCCCGCCUUGCUUCCGACGGUGCUGCUGGUUGCUCAGCUUCCGAGGGGACGUCUCAUGGUUGUUAUCUAUGGGAGGAGAGGAU
This 338-nucleotide long non-coding RNA is filed under the name Triticum aestivum (bread wheat). RNAcentral's name for it is "long non-coding RNA (TAES_LNC027593)". Lineage: Eukaryota; Viridiplantae; Streptophyta; Magnoliopsida; Poales; Poaceae. The record is from RNAcentral.